This 275-nucleotide long non-coding RNA is filed under the name Homo sapiens (human). RNAcentral's name for it is "non-protein coding lnc-S100A7L2-1:1". Lineage: Eukaryota; Metazoa; Chordata; Mammalia; Primates; Hominidae. The record is from RNAcentral.
AUGGGAGCUGAGGAGCAGCUGAAGGGCUUGCUCAACCUAUGUCACAAAUACACCCGAGAUUCAGAUGCCAUGGGCAGAUCUGGAUGUCCAACGUCAUGCAUUUCCCCCACCUUCCUAUCAGCCUUGAAAAAAAGAGCCCAGAUUUCUUGGAAAAGUUGUUUAAGAAGGACAAGAAUCAUGAGGAGAAGAUCAAUUUUUCUGAGUUUGUCUCCAGUGUUGCUGCAGUUGCUAAGGAAUUACACCAUCAGUCCCAUGGCCAGAAGCCCUGUUCUAAA